GCCAUUCUAGGCCAAGGGGUCACAGUCCACCCUGAACUGUGCCUCCCAGCCUGGAGCCAGAAAGCUCAGGGAGGCUAGAGGCCCUGCCCAGACCUCAGCACUGACCCUGCACCCCUAGGCCCAGCUGGAUGACCCCUAAGGGCUUUCUGGAAUUUGGAUGCAGGGUUAUUCUGUGUGUGCUGCCUCUCAGAGCAUGUCACUUUGACGUGGACAUCUCGGGUCUGGUUCUGGUGCUGUCCCUGUCUCGCCAUGUGACCCUGGGUAAGUCAUCUCUCCAGGCCUUGAUUUCCCCAUCUGUAAACAGAGGAACCCAAGGAAUGAGUGGGCUCUAACUGCUGCAGCAUAUGGGAGAUGCCAGGAGGAGCUGGCUGUGGCAGGCCAUUCCAGGCCAUCAGACAACUUGUAGUGGAUGAAGAUACAAUGUCUAUGGCCAGAAGAAACUCCCAUGGAUGCUCAGGCCAAGGCUGCCAGAAGCACGAGGAGGGGCAGCAUUGAGUGUCAUCGGGCAGAGGCAAGGUGAUGGUCCUGAAGCUGCCCCAUGUGGCCAGUCCCUUUUUGGGAAGCCUGAAUAAAUCCAUUUCCUGUGCACUGUGUGGGAAGCCAACCCCUCUUCAGAGCACCUCUGAACUCAACAGGAUCCUACACUUCUUAUAGGCCUGGCUUGAUGCUGACAUCCUUCAGCCCCAGGGAAUAAAGAUCUCCAGGUCUCGAGGCACCUGGAACACCUCCAUCUGAGACCACUUUAACAUGAUUUCUCUGCUUGAGGGAUUUUGGACCACGCUGUGUGUAUUCAGCCCUAAAACAUGCGUGGGUGCCUGCUUGCAGUUCAGAUUCUCAGAGGAAGUUCCCUGUACUCCACCCAGUGCCAAGUUUAAUUUGUGCAAAUUUCCUUAAUGUCCCCUCCUGUACAACAGGUUUAUUUGGUGUUAACCCUCACAUCGGGGGUCUAACUCUUCGGUUUUCCAGUUUUUUGCUGGAAUACCCCAUUAAACUGUCCAUAUUGGGUAUUUUUUCUUUCUUAGUAAACAUUUGGUGCAUCUUAGAGUUGAUAGCAUUUUAGAUUUGAAGAAAUAACUGACAAAAUCAAUAUCAUCUGUUUCAUCAUUA
This 1107-nucleotide non-coding RNA is filed under the name Pongo abelii (Sumatran orangutan). The record is from RNAcentral. Lineage: Eukaryota; Metazoa; Chordata; Mammalia; Primates; Hominidae.